RNAcentral lists this ribosomal RNA (460 nucleotides) under uncultured bacterium. RNAcentral's name for it is "partial 16S ribosomal RNA". It matches the Rfam family "Bacterial small subunit ribosomal RNA", at positions 338 to 795 of the family's 1533-position model. The record is from RNAcentral.
CCUACGGGGUGCAGCAGUGAGGAAUAUUGGUCAAUGGACGAGAGUCUGAACCAGCCAAGUAGCAUGAAGGAUGACUGCCCUAUGGGUUGUAAACUUCUUUUAUAUGGGAAUAAAACGUUCCACGUGUGGGAUUUUGUAUGUACCAUAUGAAUAAGGAUCGGCUAACUCCGUGCCAGCAGCCGCGGUAAUACGGAGGAUCCGAGCGUUAUCCGGAUUUAUUGGGUUUAAAGGGAGCGUAGGUGGAUUGUUAAGUCAGUUGUGAAAGUUUGCGGCUCAACCGUAAAAUUGCAGUUGAAACUGGCAGUCUUGAGUACAGUAGAGGUGGGCGGAAUUCGUGGUGUAGCGGUGAAAUGCUUAGAUAUCACGAAGAACUCCGAUUGCGAAGGCAGUUCACUGGACUGCAACUGACACUGAGGCUCGAAAGUGUGGGUAUCAAACAGGAUUAGAUACCCGGGUAGUC